Molecule: unclassified non-coding RNA, 352 nt
Filed under: soil metagenome
Description: partial contains 5.8S ribosomal RNA, internal transcribed spacer 2, and large subunit ribosomal RNA
Rfam family: 5.8S ribosomal RNA (bases 1-120)
Source: RNAcentral
GAUGAAGAACGCAGUGAAAUGCGAUAAGUAAUGUGAAUUGCAGAAUUCAGUGAAUCAUCGAAUCUUUGAACGCACAUUGCGCCCGCCAGUAUUCUGGCGGGCAUGCCUGUUCGAGCGUCAUUUCAACCCUCAGGCCCCCAGUGCCUGGCGUUGGGGUUCGGCGCGGCGCCCUCCGGGGCGCUGCCGGCCCCGAAAUUCAGUGGCGGUCUCGCUGUAGCCCUCCUCCGCGUAGUAGCACAACCUCGCGGCCUGGAGCUCGGCGGUGGCCAUGCCGUAAAACACCCCACUUCUGAAAGUUGACCUCGGAUCAGGUAGGAAUACCCGCUGAACUUAAGCAUAUCAAUAAGCGGGA